RNAcentral lists this ribosomal RNA (463 nucleotides) under uncultured bacterium. RNAcentral's name for it is "partial 16S ribosomal RNA". It matches the Rfam family "Bacterial small subunit ribosomal RNA", at positions 28 to 507 of the family's 1533-position model. The record is from RNAcentral.
GAUGAACGCUGACAGAAUGCUUAACACAUGCAAGUCUUUGGCGAAGCUGUGCUUGCACAGCCUAGCCAAGGCGGACGGGUGAGUAACGCGUAAGGAACUUGCCCUGCAGUCAGGGAUAACAGACGGAAACGACUGAUAAGACCUGGUAAAGUCAGGCGGACUCAUGUCCAGCCUGAUGAAAAGAGAUGCUGCAGGAGAGCCUUGCGUCCUAUUAGCUUGUUGGUGGGGUAACGGCCCACCAAGGCGAUGAUAGGUAGCCGGCCUGAGAGGGUGGACGGCCACAAGGGGACUGAGAGACGGCCCUUACUCCUACGGGAGGCAGCAGAGGGGAAUAUUGGACAAGGGGGGCAACCCUGAUCCAGAAAUUCUGUGUGCACGAUGAAGGUUUUCGGAUUGUAAAGUGCUUUCAGCAGGGAAGAAAAAAAUGACGGUACCUGCAGAAGAAGCGACGGCUAAAUACGUG